RNAcentral lists this transfer RNA (77 nucleotides) under Acinetobacter phage DMU1. Its description in RNAcentral is "tRNA-Arg". It matches the Rfam family "tRNA". Rfam says of the family: Transfer RNA (tRNA) molecules are approximately 80 nucleotides in length. Lineage: Duplodnaviria; Heunggongvirae; Uroviricota; Caudoviricetes. The record is from RNAcentral. RNAcentral also lists the same sequence under 1 other name.
GCGCUUAUAGCUCAGUAGGAUAGAGCGAUCCCCUCCUAAGGGAUAGGCCACAAGUUCGAUUCUUGUUAAGCGCACCA